GAUGAAGAACGUAGCGAAAUGCGAUAACUAAUGUGAAUUGCAGAAUUCAGUGAAUCAUCGAGUCUUUGAACGCACAUUGCGCCCCCUGGUAUUCCGGGGGGCAUGCCUGUCCGAGCGUCAUUGCUGCCCUCAAGCACGGCUUGUGUGUUGGGCUCCGUCCCCCCGGGGACUGGCCCGAAAGGCAGCGGCGGCACCGAGUCCGGUCCUCGAGCGUAUGGGGCUUUGUCACCCGCUCUGUAGGCCCGGCCGGCGCCAGCCGACAACCCAUCAUCCUUUUCAGGUUGACCUCGGAUCAGGUAGGGAUACCCGCUGAACUUAAGCAUAUCAAUAAGCGGAGGA
RNAcentral lists this unclassified non-coding RNA (339 nucleotides) under soil metagenome. Its description in RNAcentral is "partial contains 5.8S ribosomal RNA, internal transcribed spacer 2, and large subunit ribosomal RNA". The stretch from base 1 to 120 matches the Rfam family "5.8S ribosomal RNA", at positions 35 to 154 of the family's 154-position model. The record is from RNAcentral.